UCAAUAACAACUUUCAGCAGUGGAUGUCUAGGCUCGCACAUCGAUGAAGAACGCUGCGAACUGCGAUACGUAAUGCGAAUUGCAGAAUUCAGUGAGUCAUCGAAAUUUUGAACGCACAUUGCACUUUCGGGAUAUUCCUGGAAGUAUGCUUGUAUCAGUGUCCGUACAUCAAACUUGCCUUUCUUUUUUUGUGUAGUCAAGGAGAGAAAUGGCAGAAUGUGAGGUGUCUCGCUGACUCCCUCUUCGGAGGAGAAGACGCGAGUCCCUUUAAAUGUACGUUCGCUCUUUCUUGUGUCUGAGAUGAAGUGUGACUUUCGAACGCAGUGAUCUGUUUGGAUCGCUUUGCGCGAGUGGGCGACUUCGGUUAGAACAUUAAAGGAAGCAACCUCUAUUGGCGGUAUGUUAGGCUUCGGCCCGACUUUGCAGCUGACAGUGUGUUGUUUUCUGUUCUUUCCUUGAGGUGUACCUGUCAUGUGUGAGGCAAUGGUCUGGGCAAAUGGUUAUUGUGUAGUAGAAUUUUGCUGCUCUUGGGCGCCCUACUCGUAGGGUAAAGGAGGCAACACCAAUUUGGGACUAGUCUGUUUCGGCAGGCGCAUUUUCAAUUUGGACCUGAUAU
RNAcentral lists this ribosomal RNA (616 nucleotides) under Pythium sp. IBL/2011/22/2. RNAcentral's name for it is "eukaryotic LSU rRNA". The stretch from base 9 to 163 matches the Rfam family "5.8S ribosomal RNA". Lineage: Eukaryota; Oomycota; Peronosporomycetes; Pythiales; Pythiaceae. The record is from RNAcentral.